UGAACGCUGGCGGUAGGCCUACCACAUGCAAGUCGAACGGCAGCACAGUAAGAGCUUGCUCUUACGGGUGGCGAGUGGCGGACGGGUGAGGAAUACAUCGGAAUCUACUUUUUCGUGGGGGAUAACGUAGGGAAACUUACGCUAAUACCGCAUACGACCUACGGGUGAAAGCAGGGGAUCUUCGGACCUUGCGCGAUUGAAUGAGCCGAUGUCGGAUUAGCUAGUUGGCGGGGUAAAGGCCCACCAAGGCGACGAUCCGUAGCUGGUCUGAGAGGAUGAUCAGCCACACUGGAACUGAGACACGGUCCAGACUCCUACGGGAGGCAGCAGUGGGGAAUAUUGGACAAUGGGCGCAAGCCUGAUCCAGCCAUACCGCGUGGGUGAAGAAGGCCUUCGGGUUGUGAAGCCCUUUUGUUGGGAAAGAAAAGCAGCAGGUUAAUACCCCGCUGUUCUGACGGUACCCAAAGAAUAAGCACCGGCUAACUUCGUG
RNAcentral lists this ribosomal RNA (490 nucleotides) under uncultured bacterium. RNAcentral's name for it is "partial 16S ribosomal RNA". It matches the Rfam family "Bacterial small subunit ribosomal RNA", at positions 30 to 507 of the family's 1533-position model. The record is from RNAcentral.